Molecule: long non-coding RNA, 1046 nt
Organism: Octopus bimaculoides (California two-spot octopus)
Lineage: Eukaryota; Metazoa; Mollusca; Cephalopoda; Octopoda; Octopodidae
Source: RefSeq, a predicted model, not a curated record
CAAAGCCGUGACCUCUCAAUGUGAAGUAGUACUCGACCUGUAGAGACUCUCUGAGCUAAUUGGUGAAACCAAAACUUAAAAUCCAAGCUGUCUCCUCUUGAAGCACAUCUGCUUAUUUCAGUGUACCAAAUCCAUAUGUAGAUGUUAUAUUUGAGGUACAUACACAGGUUUUCUGGUUCAGUUCCAUUGUGCAGCACCUUGAACAAGUGUCUUCUACUUAAGCCUCAGGCUGACCAAAGCUUUUAAUGGGAAUUGGUAGAUGGCUACUGAAAAGAACUUAUUGUGUAUGUGCGUGUGUGUGUGUUCCUUUGAUGUGGUUGAACAACCAAUCCCAACCAGUCGGGAUUCACAGUAUGUGUUGCACUAUUCAUCCUUUCAAUUGCUAAAUACAAAACGUGACUCGCAAGGCCUCCAUUCAGGUGACUUUUCAGAGUCACCAUCUCACCCUUGUACAUCAAUCUGUCACAAGGUUAUCCAUUUACAGCUGAGUGGACUGGAGCAACAUGAAUUGAAGUGUUUUGCUCAAGAACACAACACACAGCCGGCCCUUGAAUCAAAACCAUGAUCUUGUGAUUGUGAGCACAACACCCUAACAAGCAGGCCAUGCACCUUAACAUGUUAUUGGAGGAUUGUUGACUCUCUUGAGUUCCUGUCCUUUGAUGUGUUUUGUUUUCUAUCCUGCAGCAUGUCCAAUAAAUUACCCUCCUUGCCAAGCAAGCUUGGUGGGGUUAGUGGUUUAAUUGCCAAGGACCUGACCAUGCAACAGGUUGUAUUGGGUUACACAUCAUCUGUAGUGCUUGAGAGUGAACUGUCUUGACAUCACAUGAUGGUUGUAAACAAGCAUGGUUUGUUUCCAAUCUUCUGAGAAAAACAUGCCUGGUUCUGGAGACAUAUUACUUUCCUGGGAAACAGGUGAGAGUUGGCAACAAGAAGGGCCUCCAGCUAUAGAACUAUACCUUAAUGAAUUCCAUAUGAAUCGAGCAGACAUUACAAUGAUGAUGAUGGUAAUGAUAUCAAUAUGUCUGCAUGUAUUGGUGAAAAAGAGA